UUUUAUGGAGAGUUUGAUCCUGGCUCAGGAUGAACGCUGGCGGCGUGCCUAAUACAUGCAAGUCGAGCGAACGGACGAGAAGCUUGCUUCUCUGAUGUUAGCGGCGGACGGGUGAGUAACACGUGGAUAACCUACCUAUAAGACUGGGAUAACUUCGGGAAACCGGAGCUAAUACCGGAUAAAUUUUGAACCGCAUGGUUCAAAAGUGAAAGACGGUCUUGCUGUCACUUAUAGAUGGAU
Molecule: ribosomal RNA, 240 nt
Filed under: Staphylococcus aureus
Lineage: Bacteria; Bacillati; Bacillota; Bacilli; Caryophanales; Staphylococcaceae
Description: partial 16S ribosomal RNA
Rfam family: Bacterial small subunit ribosomal RNA
Source: RNAcentral